Molecule: ribosomal RNA, 524 nt
Filed under: uncultured bacterium
Lineage: Bacteria
Description: partial 16S ribosomal RNA
Rfam family: Bacterial small subunit ribosomal RNA
Source: RNAcentral
UGGGGAAUAUUGCACAAUGGGCGCAAGCCUGAUGCAGCCAUGCCGCGUGUGUGAAGAAGGCCUUCGGGUUGUAAAGCACUUUCAGCGAGGAGGAAGGUGGUGAGCUUAAUACGCUCAUCAAUUGACGUUACUCGCAGAAGAAGCACCGGCUAACUCCGUGCCAGCAGCCGCGGUAAUACGGAGGGUGCAAGCGUUAAUCGGAAUUACUGGGCGUAAAGCGCACGCAGGCGGUUUGUUAAGUCAGAUGUGAAAAUCCCCCGGGCUCAACCUGGGAACUGCAUUUGAAAACUGGCAAGCUAGAGUCUCGUAGAGGGGGGUAGAAUUCCAGGUGUAGCGGUGAAAUGCGUAGAGAUCUGGAGGAAUACCGGUGGCGAAGGCGGCCCCCCUGGACGAAGACUGACGCUCAGGUGCGAAAAGCGUGGGGAGCAAAACAGGAUUAGAUACCCUGGUAGUCCACGCUGUAAACGAUGUCGAUUUUGGAGGUUGUGCCCUUGAGGCGUGGCUUCCGGAGCUAACGCGUUAAA